Long non-coding RNA from Mirounga angustirostris (Northern elephant seal), 563 nucleotides. RefSeq lists it as uncharacterized. The record is from RefSeq and is a predicted model, not a curated record. The transcript is spliced from 4 exons. Lineage: Eukaryota; Metazoa; Chordata; Mammalia; Carnivora; Phocidae.
UAAUGAGCCUGUCCCUGCCAGGGAGAAGGUAGGGGGGCUCUCAGACUCACCAAGAGCUGUGUUGAGAAAGGACUUCUCACUCCGAGGGCAACUUGGAAAGGAAGGGGCUGUAUUCCAAAGAGGGAGGGGAGGCAAGGCAGCCCCAAAUCUAGAAUUCCGUACCAGUGAUCGACAGAAAAAGCACCAAGAACAGCCUUCUCUUUCCAGUCUGAGGAGCAGGAAAGGGAGCUCUAAGGAUCAGAGAAGGCUGGGAAAAUCCUCCAGUGUGUAUGUGGCCCUUCUGCUUCUGGGGUCAGACAUUUGCCUUCUCACGUGGGUCUCUAUGGCUGGCUUCUGGAUUCCAUCUGCUCUUCCAACUUCACCUGCCACUUCGAUGCUGGCGAGCCCGCACCAUUUUCACUGGGUCGGACCUCUUCAUGCACACCAGACCUAGCAUAAUCCCUAGCGGAAUAUUACUCAGCCAUCAGAAAGGAUGAAUACCCACCAUUUGCACUGCUGCCUUUUAAAAUGGAAACCUUAACAGAGAGGCGAACAGCUCUGGUGGUGAGGAAGCAGAUUCAGGC